AGAGUUUGAUCCUGGCUCAGAACGAACGCUGGCGGCAGGCUUAACACAUGCAAGUCGAACGCAUCCUUCGGGGUGAGUGGCAGACGGGUGAGUAACGCGUGGGAACGUGCCCUUCAGUUCGGAAUAACCCAGGGAAACUUGGGCUAAUACCGGAUACGUGCGAGAGCAGAAAGAUUUAUCGCUGAAGGAUCGGCCCGCGUCUGAUUAGCUAGUUGGUGAGGUAAUGGCUCACCAAGGCGACGAUCAGUAGCUGGUCUGAGAGGAUGAUCAGCCACAUUGGGACUGAGACACGGCCCAAACUCCUACGGGAGGCAGCAGUGGGGAAUAUUGGACAAUGGGCGCAAGCCUGAUCCAGCCAUGCCGCGUGAGUGAUGAAGGCCUUAGGGUUGUAAAGCUCUUUCGUCCGGGACGAUAAUGACGGUACCGGAAGAAGAAGCCCCGGCUAACUUCGUGCCAGCAGCCGCGGUAAUACGAAGGGGGCUAGCGUUGUUCGGAAUCACUGGGCGUAAAGGGCGCGUAGGCGGCUUGAUAAGUCGGGGGUGAAAGCCUGUGGCUCAACCACAGAAUUGCCUUCGAUACUGUCUGGCUUGAGACCGGAAGAGGUAAGUGGAACUGCGAGUGUAGAGGUGAAAUUCGUAGAUAUUCGCAAGAACACCAGUGGCGAAGGCGGCUUACUGGUCCGGUUCUGACGCUGAGGCGCGAAAGCGUGGGGAGCAAACAGGAUUAGAUACCCUAGUAGUCC
RNAcentral lists this ribosomal RNA (742 nucleotides) under uncultured bacterium. RNAcentral describes it as "bacterial SSU rRNA". It matches the Rfam family "Bacterial small subunit ribosomal RNA", at positions 8 to 796 of the family's 1533-position model. The record is from RNAcentral.